GUAGUCUCGCACAGAUGCAUAUCAAUAAGCGGAGGAAAAGAAACUAACAAGGAUUCCCCUAGUAACGGCGAGUGAAGCGGGAAGAGCUCAAAUUUGAAAUCUUAAAGGGUUUCCCUUUACGAAUUGUAGUUUAAAGAAGUGUUUUCUGUUGAGGUUUUGGUAAAAGUUCUUUGGAAUAGGACAUCAUAGAGGGUGAGAAUCCCGUAUUUGACCUUUACUUUCAACUUUGUGAUACACUUUCAAAGAGUCGGAUUGUUUGGGAAUGCAGUCCAAAAUGGGUGGUAAAUUUCAUCUAAAGCUAAAUAUUGGCGAGAGACCGAUAGCGAACAAGUACCGUGAGGGAAAGAUGAAAAGAACUUUGAAAAGAGAGUUAAACAGUACGUGAAAUUGUCAAAAGGGAAGCGUUUGACACCAGUGUUGUUUUUCUGAAAAUCAAUUAAAGAACUGUUUAUGCUAAGCUGUUUAGACUUUAUCAGCUAACUGUUUAGUUUUGAGCUUUUCUUUAAUGCACUUUUCAGUUAACAAGUCAACAUCAAUUUCUUUUGCUGUAAAAAAGCUUAAGGAAGGUGGCUUGAGAUUCGUCUUAAGUGUUUAUAGCCUCUUGCCUAUGCAGUCGGAGAGAUUGAGGUCUGCAGCGUAGAUCCUUCGGGGCUAAAUGCAUUUGUGCUAAGUUAUAGCAUUUUAUAGACAACUUGUUGACUAUGAUUUGUCUUGUAGCUUACUCGCUUAUGUUAUUUUACCUACGCUUAGGAUGUUGAACUCUACAGAGAUA
This 772-nucleotide ribosomal RNA is filed under the name uncultured Neocallimastigales. RNAcentral's name for it is "partial large subunit ribosomal RNA". It matches the Rfam family "Eukaryotic large subunit ribosomal RNA", at positions 24 to 642 of the family's 3401-position model. The record is from RNAcentral. Lineage: Eukaryota; Fungi; Neocallimastigomycota; Neocallimastigomycetes; Neocallimastigales.